GUGGGGAAUCUUGGACAAUGGGCGCAAGCCUGAUCCAGCCAUGCCGCGUGAGUGAUGAAGGCCUUAGGGUUGUAAAACUCUUUCGUCGGGGACGAUAAUGACGGUACCCGAAGAAGAAGCCCCGGCUAACUUCGUGCCAGCAGCCGCGGUAAUACGAAGGGGGCUAGCGUUGUUCGGAUUUACUGGGCGUAAAGCGCGUGUAGGCGGGCUGGUAAGUUGGGGGUGAAAUCCCGAGGCUCAACCUCGGAACUGCCUCCAAAACUGUCAGCCUGGACUCAAGUAGAGGCAAGUGGAAUUGCGAGUGUAGAGGUGAAAUUCGUAGAUAUUCGCAGGAACACCAGUGGCGAAGGCGACUUGCUGGACUUGUAGUGACGCUGAGACGCGAAAGCGUGGGGAGCAAACAGGAUUAGAAACCCCGGUAGUCC
RNAcentral lists this ribosomal RNA (425 nucleotides) under uncultured Woodsholea sp. RNAcentral describes it as "bacterial SSU rRNA". It matches the Rfam family "Bacterial small subunit ribosomal RNA", at positions 354 to 796 of the family's 1533-position model. Lineage: Bacteria; Pseudomonadati; Pseudomonadota; Alphaproteobacteria; Maricaulales; Maricaulaceae. The record is from RNAcentral.